RNAcentral lists this ribosomal RNA (468 nucleotides) under uncultured bacterium. Its description in RNAcentral is "partial 16S ribosomal RNA". It matches the Rfam family "Bacterial small subunit ribosomal RNA", at positions 28 to 507 of the family's 1533-position model. The record is from RNAcentral.
GACGAACGCUGGCGGCGUGCUUAACACAUGCCAGUCGAACGGAAAGGCCCUGCUUUUGUGGGGUGCUCGAGUGGCGAACGGGUGAGUAACACGUGAGUAACCUGCCCUUGACUUUGGGAUAACUUCAGGAAACUGGGGCUAAUACCGGAUAGGAGCUCCUGCUGCAUGGUGGGGGUUGGAAAGUUUCGGCGGUUGGGGAUGGACUCGCGGCUUAUCAGCUUGUUGGUGGGGUAGUGGCUUACCAAGGCUUUGACGGGUAGCCGGCCUGAGAGGGUGACCGGCAACAUUGGGACUGAGAUACGGCCCAGACUCCUACGGGAGGCAGCAGUGGGGAAUAUUGCACAAUGGGCGGAAGCCUGAUGCAGCAACGCAGCGUGCGGGAUGACGGCCUUCGGGUUGUAAACCGCUUUCGCCUGUGACGAAGCGUGAGUGACGGUAAUGGGUAAAGAAGCACCGGCUAACUACGUG